Molecule: ribosomal RNA, 908 nt
Filed under: Hydnum repandum
Lineage: Eukaryota; Fungi; Basidiomycota; Agaricomycetes; Cantharellales; Hydnaceae
Description: partial large subunit ribosomal RNA
Rfam family: Eukaryotic large subunit ribosomal RNA
Source: RNAcentral
UUAUUGUUUAGAGACUAACAAGGAUUCCCUUAGUAACGGCGAGUGAAGCGGGAUGAGCUCAAAUUUAAAAUCUGGUAGUCUCUGGCUGCCCGAGUUGUAAUCUAGAGAAGUGUUUUCUGUGCUGGACUGUGUUCAAGUUUCCUGGAUAUGGAACAUCAUAGAGGGUGAGAAUCCCGUCCUUGACACAGGCUCCCAGUGCUAUGUGAUGCACUCUCAACGAGUCGAGUUGUUUGGGAUUGCAGCUCAAAAUGGGAGGUAAAUUCCUUCUAAAGCUAAAUAUUGGCGAGAGACCGAUAGCGAACAAGUACCGUGAGGGAAAGAUGAAAAGCACUUUGGAAAGAGAGUUAAACAGUACGUGAAAUUGUUAAAAGGGAAACAAUUGAAGUCAGUUGCAUCUACUUGGACUCAGCCUUACUUUGGUUUGGUGCAUUUCCUUGUGGAUGGGCCAGUGUUCAUGUUGAUUGCUGGAAAAGGGGCUAGGGAAUGUGGCUCUUUUGGGAGUGUUAUAGCCUUGGCUCAUAUACAGUGAUUAAUAUGGAGUGGUACAGCAUGCUUCGGUGGUGCUUGUGCUGGCAUAAUGGCUUUAAAUGACCCGUCUUGAAACACGGACCAAGGAGUCUAACAUGUCUGCAAGUAUUUGGGUGAUAAACCCGAGUGCGUAAUGAAAGUGAUAGCUGGGAACCCUGCAAAGGGGGCACCAGUGCCCCGAGCGGAUCUUCUGUGAUGCAUCGGAGGUAGAGCAUAUAUGUUGGGACCCGAAAGAUGGUGAACUAUGCCUGAAUAGGGUGAAGCCAGAGGAAACUCUGGUGGAGGCUCGUAGCGAUUCUGACGUGCAAAUCGAUCGUCAAAUUUGGGUAUAGGGGCGAAAGACUAAUCGAACCAUCUAGUAGCUGGUUCCUGCCGAGUGC